Molecule: ribosomal RNA, 465 nt
Filed under: uncultured bacterium
Lineage: Bacteria
Description: partial 16S ribosomal RNA
Rfam family: Bacterial small subunit ribosomal RNA
Source: RNAcentral
AUGAACGCUGGCGGCGUGCUUAACACAUGCAAGUCGAACGGAAAGGCCCAAGCUUGCUUGGGUACUCGAGUGGCGAACGGGUGAGUAACACGUGGGUGAUCUGCCCCGCACUUCGGGAUAAGCCUGGGAAACUGGGUCUAAUACCGGAUAGGACCACUUCUUGGAGGUUGUGGUGGAAAGUUUUUUCGGUGUGGGAUGAGCUCGCGGCCUAUCAGCUUGUUGGUGGGGUAAUGGCCUACCAAGGCGUCGACGGGUAGCCGGCCUGAGAGGGUGUACGGCCACAUUGGGACUGAGAUACGGCCCAGACUCCUACGGGAGGCAGCAGUGGGGAAUAUUGCACAAUGGGCGCAAGCCUGAUGCAGCGACGCCGCGUGGGGGAUGACGGCCUUCGGGUUGUAAACUCCUUUCGCUAGGGACGAAGCGCAAGUGACGGUACCUAGAGAAGAAGCACCGGCUAACUACGUG